Chenopodium quinoa (quinoa) is the source of this 283-nucleotide long non-coding RNA. RefSeq lists it as uncharacterized. Lineage: Eukaryota; Viridiplantae; Streptophyta; Magnoliopsida; Caryophyllales; Amaranthaceae. The transcript is spliced from 3 exons. The record is from RefSeq and is a predicted model, not a curated record.
UGCAUCGGAAUCUGCUUUUAGUACGGGAGGUCGUACUCUAGAUCCAUUUCAGAGUUCUUUAACUCCUAAGAUGGUUCAAGCGCUACUUUGCACACAAGAUUGGCUUAGAGCUAAGGGAGUGCCAAUCGUUGAUGUGGAAGAAAAUUUGAAAGAGUUAGAGGAAAUAGAGAAAGAGGUGCAACGUGGUGAAUCUAACGAUGUAGACGAUGAAGUUGUUUUCGUGGACUCAUUAGUGUGAAUCACGCAAUCAAAGGGAAAACAACUCAUCAAAAUUCAAGUUGUC